Psammomys obesus (fat sand rat) is the source of this 125-nucleotide small nuclear RNA. The record is from RefSeq and is a predicted model, not a curated record. Lineage: Eukaryota; Metazoa; Chordata; Mammalia; Rodentia; Muridae.
GUGUAAUAUGAAAGCAGAGAAGGAUAACAUUCCCCUACAAGGAUGAAAGAGGCCUUUGGGCCUAACAACACACAUAAGGUUAAGGCAUUGCCACCUACUUGUGUGGCAUCUAACCACAGUUUUUG